AUGAUGAGCGCUUCUGCAGGGCAGACACCUUCUGGAGGCUCACUGGAUAUGCAGCAGAACCCAUCCCUCGGUGGUCAAACUAGGGAGCUGCUGAUGACACACAGGAAGUCUGCAGAGCUUAUGGAGGUAUCAGAAGGGCGGCUAUUUGUCAGGACUGGGUUUACUUGGGAGUGGAGUUCUGCAAACUACAUAGGACCACGUCUGAAUCAUCCUGCUGGAGGAGGAAAGACCAGGCAGAGCUGAGUUAUCAGUCAAGGUUAUCCUGGAUCACUGCAUCCUUGAACAUGCAAGAUAAAAGGUCAGUCAAGAUCAGCAGAGCUGUUUACAAAUGCAUGUGGUUCCAGUCUGAUCAGCCAGGC
This 359-nucleotide long non-coding RNA is filed under the name Fukomys damarensis (Damara mole-rat). RNAcentral's name for it is "lncRNA (ENSFDAG00000030284.1)". Lineage: Eukaryota; Metazoa; Chordata; Mammalia; Rodentia; Bathyergidae. The record is from RNAcentral.